GAAAAGGAAGAGAAGAUAUUUAAAGUGGAAAUAUUUCAAGGACAAAUGUUAUUUAUUGUAACUUUGGCUGUUUGUUUUUGUAGAACAUUUCAUCCAGAC
This is a long non-coding RNA of Neopelma chrysocephalum (saffron-crested tyrant-manakin), 99 nucleotides long. RefSeq lists it as uncharacterized. NCBI's taxonomy places the organism in Eukaryota, Metazoa, Chordata, Aves, Passeriformes, Pipridae. The transcript has 3 exons. The record is from RefSeq and is a predicted model, not a curated record.